UACAGAGGGGGCAAGCGUUGUUCGGAAUUACUGGGCGUAAAGGGCUCGUAGGCGGCCCACUAAGUCACACGUGAAAUCCCCAGGCUUAACCUGGGAACUGCGUGUGAUACUGGAUGGCUUGAAUCCGGGAGAGGGAUGCAGAAUUCCAGGUGUAGCGGUGAAAUGCGUAGAUAUCUGGAGGAAUACCGGUGGCGAAGGCGGCAUCCUGGACCGGCAUUGACGCUGAUGAGCGAAAGCUAGGGGAGCAAACGGG
This 253-nucleotide ribosomal RNA is filed under the name uncultured bacterium. Its description in RNAcentral is "partial 16S ribosomal RNA". It matches the Rfam family "Bacterial small subunit ribosomal RNA", at positions 524 to 776 of the family's 1533-position model. The record is from RNAcentral.